Non-coding RNA from Ictidomys tridecemlineatus (thirteen-lined ground squirrel), 110 nucleotides. NCBI's taxonomy places the organism in Eukaryota, Metazoa, Chordata, Mammalia, Rodentia, Sciuridae. The record is from Rfam.
UCUCAAAAAAUACAGACACUAGUGUGUGAUAGCUACAAAUAGCCAUCUCCUUUGUAGCAUAUACAGCCUAUUGCUUGUAUAGGUUGUUCUUAGGGACCUUGGAGACAAUA